UCCUUGGGGCUCGAUCUCAUGACCCUGAGAUCAUGACCAAAGCUGAAAUCAAGAGUUGGACACAACCGACUGAGCCACCCAGGAGCACCCCCUUUUUUUUUCAUUGGUGCAGACCACAAGUUCUGGAAUUCUGUGGCCUCUCCGGAAACCUGACUCUGGAAUUCAGAGCCUCCUGAGAUUUGUUCCCUGUUCUCCCUUGCAGCAACCAACUUCCUGGUUGGUUUGGAUUGUCAUGGAAAGGAGGCAGCUUGAUGGAACAGAAAGAGCUCUGGAUUAAUCCCUUGGGGGAACUCUGAAAGCGAUUGGCUGUGUGAGUUUAGGCAAAUGGAUUUACCUCUCUGAUCUUCAGUCUCUUCAUUGGCAAGAUGAUUUCUACUUCAUAAGAUAGAACAUUUCCCUGGAUGAGGAUUCAGUAGAACACAGUUUCAGAAACUUGGUGGAGGUUCUACUCAGCUGAGGACAUUUUAGCUUUUUGCCAUGUGGUCCCUGAAAGUCAACCAAAGUGAUUUUGGUCUCUGAAAACAGCCAAAGGGGAAACUGAGCUGAUGUGACUUCCCUCGCAAGAAAAGUCCUUAGGACUUGGAUUUGGCAGGCCACCACUGGACACUGCCCCUUUGGGGUCCCGAGCAAUGAUUGGAGCAGCCCCUCAUCUGACAGAAGGGGAAACUGAGCCCAGAGAGAGAAAUCAGCUUCUCUUAGAUCAUCCAGCCAAGAGCCCAAUCCCUGCAAUCCCACACCCAGCACCAAGAGGUUAAACCUUACUGACUGCCGUGGCCCUUUUCAUACUUUACCUUGUUUAAUGUUUAAGAAUGAUACGUGCACAGUAACUAUCUGUAAAGGUAGGAUUGGAAGAUAAAAUUCAGGAUAGUCAUUUGAGUUUGAACUUCAGACAACAAAUAACACACCAAAUAACUCAAUCCAUAUAUUGAUUUGUUAAAUUUUACAAUCUUGCCUGAGUCCAGAGCCCUCGGGGAGCUUUUAGCCAAAAUGCAGUGGAAAGCAUGGAAAGGUUGAACAUUAGGGUCACAUUCUAAUCUUACCACUUACAGACAUUGGGACCUCGGACAAGUUACUUGACCUCUCUGAGCCACAAAGAGUUGUGGUAAGAAUUAACCAAAGAAAACAUACGGGAAAACUCCUAGUACACUGCUUGGCAAGUAAUUGGCAUUCAAAAAUGGCAAUUCUUAUUGUUCUCUUUUACUCAGAAUAACAUUUUUUUCUUGGGCCCUUGUCCUAGUCAAAAAAAAAAAAAAAAAAAAAAAAAAAA
Molecule: long non-coding RNA, 1267 nt
Organism: Canis lupus familiaris (dog)
Lineage: Eukaryota; Metazoa; Chordata; Mammalia; Carnivora; Canidae
Exons: 2
Source: RefSeq, a predicted model, not a curated record